UCCGAAUUGGUGUAGUGGCUAACAUAUGUCGCUCUCAUCCCAUCCUCUGGUUGCAGUUGAUGUUAGACGUGCCGACAUGCCCGGGGUUCGAUUCCCCGAUUCGGAG
This is a non-coding RNA of Astrocystis sublimbata, 106 nucleotides long. The record is from the annotation of a GenBank genome assembly. NCBI's taxonomy places the organism in Eukaryota, Fungi, Ascomycota, Sordariomycetes, Xylariales, Xylariaceae.